GAUGAACGCUAGCGGCAGGCCUAACACAUGCAAGUCGAGGGGCAGCACAUAAAGUGGUUUACUACUUUUGGUGGCGACCGGCGGACGGGUGCGUAACGCGUAUGCAACCUGCCUCCAACAGGGGGAUAACGGAGAGAAAUUUCCACUAAUACCCCAUAAUAUCAGAAUCGGCAUCGGUUUUGGUUGAAAACUCCGGUGGUUGGAGAUGGGCAUGCGUUGUAUUAGAUAGUUGGUGAGGUAACGGCUCACCAAGUCAACGAUACAUAGGGGGACUGAGAGGUUAGCCCCCCACACUGGUACUGAGACACGGACCAGACUCCUACGGGAGGCAGCAGUGAGGAAUAUUGGUCAAUGGGGGCAACCCUGAACCAGCCAUGCCGCGUGCAGGAAGACGGCUCUAUGAGUUGUAAACUGCUUUUACAAGGGGAUAAAUCGGUGUACGUGUACACCGUUGAAGGUACCUUGGGAAUAAGCAUCUACUAACUACGUGCCAGCCGCCGCAGUAA
RNAcentral lists this ribosomal RNA (506 nucleotides) under uncultured bacterium. RNAcentral describes it as "partial 16S ribosomal RNA". It matches the Rfam family "Bacterial small subunit ribosomal RNA", at positions 28 to 523 of the family's 1533-position model. The record is from RNAcentral.